GACGGAGGGCGCAAGCGUUGUUCGGAAUUACUGGGCGUAAAGCGCGCGCAGGCGGGAAGGUAAGUCUGGAGUGAAAUUCCGGGGCUCAACUCCGGAGCUGCUUUGGAUACUGUCUUUCUAGGGACCGGUAGAGGCCGGUGGAAUUCCCGGUGUAGCGGUGGAAUGCGUAGAGAUCGGGAAGAACACCCGUGGCGAAGGCGGCCGGCUGGGCCGGUACUGACGCUGAGACGCGAAAGCGUGGGGAGCGAACAGG
Molecule: ribosomal RNA, 253 nt
Filed under: uncultured bacterium
Lineage: Bacteria
Description: partial 16S ribosomal RNA
Rfam family: Bacterial small subunit ribosomal RNA
Source: RNAcentral